RNAcentral lists this long non-coding RNA (953 nucleotides) under Gossypium barbadense (sea-island cotton). RNAcentral's name for it is "long non-coding RNA (GBAR_LNC005559)". The record is from RNAcentral. Lineage: Eukaryota; Viridiplantae; Streptophyta; Magnoliopsida; Malvales; Malvaceae.
UUUCUUCUUCUUCUUCCACAGAAAAUGGCAGCAAAAAUGGGGGUUUUGAGAGCUUAAAAUUUCAGCCACUUAGUUCCCUUGCAAGUAAGUGAUUUUGAUGGUCAUUUUUGAUAAUUUUUGUAUUUUUAGAACCCUUGUAGCUUAAUCUAACUAAUGAGGGGAUUAUUUUGCAAAAUGGUUGAAAGUAUAAGGUUUUUCCAUGUGAAUAUUUAUGUUUUUUACUAAAUUUUUAUGGAAUAAAAUAAGUCAUGGUUGUGUAAUAAACAACUUUUGUGAAAGGAUUUUCAUGAAAAAACACCUAAAUGGACCUUUUUGUAAAGGUUGAUAAAAAGGUGAUAAGUAUGUGAAAUGAAUGAAAUUGUCGGCUGCUAUAAGCCUAAAAUAAAUUCGGCUAGGCUUGAUUAAUGAAGAAAUUCGAUAAAAAUUAAUUUACGACCUUUGGGGUAAAAUCGUAAUUUUUGUGAAAGUUUAAGGGCAAAAUGGUCGUUUUGUCAAAGUAUAAAUUAUGGAAUGUAUUGGUUAAUGUGAUGAUUAAAGUAGUAAAUUUUAUCAUUUUAGAUCAAGGAACCGAGAUUUGGGCUUAAAUCGAAAAGUAUGAGGUUAUGGAUUAAAAUGGCGUAAUUAGCCGAAAUUGCAUUCGAGGUAAGUCCGUGUGAUUAAAUAAGCAUGAUAUCCAUGUUAUUGUUAAUAUACUUGAAAUCUAUCUAGUUAUGAUUGUAUUGAAUUUUAUGUUGAUGAUAUUGUAUAUGAGAAAGUGAUGCCAAAUGUUAAUAACAUUUAUGUGAUGAUUGAAUGCUUAAAAAUUUGAUGGAAUAUGAUAUUCCAUUGAAACGAGUAAGUUGUGCGUAAAUAUUACAACUUUAUCGUUAUUAUGUAUUGAAUGGUUAAUUUUACAUGAAUUAUUUGAAUAUGGCUAUGAGAAAUGUAUGAUGAGACUUAACGUUAUAAACGCC